Molecule: long non-coding RNA, 227 nt
Organism: Eptesicus fuscus (big brown bat)
Lineage: Eukaryota; Metazoa; Chordata; Mammalia; Chiroptera; Vespertilionidae
Exons: 3
Source: RefSeq, a predicted model, not a curated record
AAACUUUCUGAAGAUAAAUCUGGAUACAUUCCUGAGUGCUGCCAAUCAUUUUUCAGAUAGGGGAGACAAAAUCAGGACAAUUCUUGAGGAAUUCAAGACAGUCCUGCCCACCCCCACGUCCACGGAAGACCCGAUCAGCAUCAAGAUGGGGAACUGGGGAGAUUUCAGGAGGAAACUGAAAGAAUAUCUCUAUGCCCUUAAGAAGUGGAUCGGUUACUAGAAUGUUC